UGAUCAUGAUAAAGUUUCUCAGACCAUUGGAUCCAACUUAAAGUCUAUGUGGUCGGGUCCAUGGAAAGGAUUGAAAGAUGUUCCUUCCCAUCACCGCGAAUGCUUGUUUUAGCGUUUUCAGGUGUAUACUUACUACCCAAUUGUAUACGAUAAUGCUUAUGACUUAAUAAAUAAAUUAAUAUAUUAUUAAUAAAUGUUUUUAUGGAGCAACACUACCGAUGGGAAGAUAAUUCGAAAUCCUCAAUUCACUCAUGCUGGGAAACGUGCAUUAAGGGGAAGUUUCCUGAUUUGUUGAAGAGGGCUCGUGAUAAAGCCAAGGCCCUUGCGAUCCAAGAGGGUGCGGAAGUUGAGAAUGAUUUGACUCCCAUUCUUCCAUUUAAGCCACUGUGGAUGAGUCAAAAGUCUUGGGAAACGCUAGUGCAUACUUGGAAUUCUGUUUCAUGGAAAAGCAAAGCUUCUCAAAACAACGAUAACAGAGGAAAAGCAACGGGUGGCAGGCACAACCUUGGCUCGAAGAGCUUUCUCACGGUUAGAAAAAAACAUGGAGAAGACCUUGGAGUGGCGCAUCAAGUUCGAUCAAUUCUGGUUACAAACACACGCAAAGAAAGGGUCGAGACCCCUAGCUGGGUUGUUGGGGUCUAGCAGCUCUAUUGAGCACGGUUCGGGAGAAGGCGGUGACAUGGAAGAGAACAUUCAUGAGCAUAACGUGACUUGGGUUGACACGAGGGCAAGUGAAGCUUAUUUUUAGGCUAGAUAUUUAAACAUUUACAAGCAUGAAGAUGGAAAUAUAUUCUGGUAAACUUAUAGGCUGUUUAGAGCUGACUCUGGUCGAAAUAUUGCCAGAACUGCGCAUGGACGGCUAUGAUGUGCUUUUUGGGCGACUCGCCUCACCUUAGUGCAAAAUGAAACUUACAAUAAACAUGUUGUCGACAAAUAUGGAGACGAUACCAGCUUGCAUCCGAAAUUGACAUGGAAUUGUUGUCGCAAACUGUUGGAGGCAAAAAAAAGGUAAAAUGUAUGGGAUCGGCACUAUCGCUAUCUUGCGUGUCGUGAUGAUGGGUGCAUAAGAGAGAAGUGACAACGAUGAGGUGGAACGGUUGAA
Helianthus annuus (common sunflower) is the source of this 1102-nucleotide long non-coding RNA. RefSeq lists it as uncharacterized. Lineage: Eukaryota; Viridiplantae; Streptophyta; Magnoliopsida; Asterales; Asteraceae. The transcript has 5 exons. The record is from RefSeq and is a predicted model, not a curated record.